This 253-nucleotide ribosomal RNA is filed under the name uncultured bacterium. RNAcentral's name for it is "partial 16S ribosomal RNA". It matches the Rfam family "Bacterial small subunit ribosomal RNA", at positions 524 to 776 of the family's 1533-position model. The record is from RNAcentral.
UACGUAGGGUGCGAGCGUUAAUCGGAAUUACUGGGCGUAAAGCGUGCGCAGGCGGUUCGUUAUGUCCGAUGUGAAAGCCCCGAGCUCAACUUGGGAAUGGCAUUGGAAACUGGCAGGCUGGAGUGUGGCAGAGGGGGGUGGAAUUCCACGUGUAGCAGUGAAAUGCGUAGAGAUGUGGAGGAACACCGAUGGCGAAGGCAGCCCCCUGGGCUGACACUGACGCUCAGGCACGAAAGCGUGGGGAGCAAACAGG